AUUGAACGCUGGCGGCAUGCUUUACACAUGCAAGUCGAACGGCAGCGCGGGCUUCGGCCUGGCGGCGAGUGGCGAACGGGUGAGUAAUACAUCGGAACGUGCCCAGUAGUGGGGGAUAGCUCGGCGAAAGCCGGAUUAAUACCGCAUACGACCUGAGGGUGAAAGCGGGGGAGCUUCGGACCUCGCGCUAUGGGAGCGGCCGAUGGCCGAUUAGCUAGUUGGUGGGGUAAAGGCCUACCAAGGCGGCGAUCUGCAGCUGGUCUGAGAGGAGGACCACACACAGUGGGGGUGAGACACGGCCCAGACUCCUAAGGGAGGCAGCGGUGGGGAAUUUUGGACAAUGGGCGAGAGCCUGAUCCAGCAAUGCGGCGUGUGUGAUGACGGCCUUCGGGUUGUAAAGCGCUUUUGGCGGGAACGAAAAGCACUGUGCUGAUACCACGGUUCAAUGACGGUACCCGCAGAAUAAGCACCGGCUAACUACGUG
This 484-nucleotide ribosomal RNA is filed under the name uncultured bacterium. RNAcentral describes it as "partial 16S ribosomal RNA". It matches the Rfam family "Bacterial small subunit ribosomal RNA", at positions 28 to 507 of the family's 1533-position model. The record is from RNAcentral.